CCUGGAUUGUUUUACAGUUCAUUAAAUCCAUUCUCCAAGAAAACAAUUAUUUAUGUUUCUAUAUCAAGAAUAAUAUUCUUAACUGGAUUAUGAGCAAAAAGAAGGGAAGGUGAUUAGGACUGCAUUCAGAGUCAAACCUUAGACAAUAGGCAAUAGUGAAUUUUUUUGUUUGCCAAUGAAAUCAGAUGAUGUUUCUCACAAAGAUGGUACACAUAGUGUGUUGUCUGUUGUUUCUUCAUAACACAUGCUAAAUAUCGGAUUAUCUUCAUUGUAUAGCUAAUCCUUCUGCCCUCUGCAUUAGGCAAAGGCAUAAGCCUAGGUUCAGAAUAUAUUAUUAUAUGUUGGACAGUUUAGUAUUUACCAUCUUCCUAGAUUAUUCUAUUAUUGUUGAAUGUAUAAUCGUUUCUUAAUCAGAAUUAAGAAAAUCUUUCCGACCAAAAUAAUUAAGCAUGUAUGAAGUACUCCAGACUAGCGAUUUUUAUAUUUAAAGAAAACCGUAUGAAAAUUUUCAUGUAACUGUUACCGUGUAACUAAUCUUCAUUUCUAACAAAAAGCGUAUGAUAUUUCCUUUCAAAAUAUAAGGAGAAAUUUUCAGCUAGGACAAACGUAAGUGUAGUUUUACAUGAUACAAAAGGAAAUUAUUGCGUGCCAAGUAUAUACAUGUUUAGCAUUUUGUACAUCGAAUUGGGCACACACACAAUUGUUUCUGGUAACUGUUCUAUGCAAGGGAUAUAUGAGGUCACCGAGGAGAUCCUUACUGCAAUCCCAUGCCUCAACGCCCCAUGGUCCUACAAUCUAGGAUGUCAGGAAUGUGGCUAUGCUCUACGACAGUGAUGUAAGGGAGAAGUGGCAACACAAAUGAGUUGUUACGAGAGUUCAAGAAUUUGUUACUCCCGUUGCAACGCACGGGCAUGUGAGAGAAAAUAUUCUGCCAGAGCUCUCCUAGCGCGUCCACUUUCUUCCGUGGCCAGCAGCAGCGACAAAAAUUCUGGGCACUUAGGGACACCUCACCACUGGAUGAAACUCACAAUGACCGGAAUCUACAACGUCCAGUGUGUCAUGGCGUCCCUCCUCUAGCUCACUCAUGAUCUUCGCACGUGACCUGCGGUGAGGACCAGUUUCUUAGGGGACAUAGUUGAAGAGCAGCAUUGAUUGGUAAGCCUCGUAUAGUAUUAUUUUACUUGCAUAAUAAGUAUGUAUAUUUACAAAGUUAAAUAAGUAUGUAUAUUUUAGGCCUAUAAUUUACUAACUAUUUCAAUCUCUCUUGUGGAUCUGUGGUGAGGUGCGUGGUGACCUGUGGCGCCUGAGGGCAUCUGGAUGUUGGUAGACACACUAAGUUGCGGCGGCCACCAGCUGCAGUAGCUGCACUACAGGGCGGCGGGCGGUAGUAGCAAGAUGAGGCAGCGACCAGCAGCAGCUGCACUACGGGGCGGCGUUAGCAAGUAGCAGCAGUAAGGCGAGGCAGUGGGGAGCAGCGGAACAACCAUGCAAACUGCAAGAAGAAUGAAGCAGCGGUUGAAACAUAUGGUGAAUCAUCAGUUUACAGAUACCCAUGAGAUGAAAUACCAUGCUAUCUUUUAGUCAGAUAAGUUGAUGAUAUGUGCCAAAUUAUACAUGGUGGGCUGGUGCUCUUGGCAUAAUACUUUUUGUGCAGUUGUGUUACAACAUGUUUUCAUUGAGAUGUUAUCCAGUAUUUUUCAGCUCCUAAAGAUAGGCUCCUCAUUUCAAAAGGAUUAAAUGAGUCUAGAUGGUCAUGGCUUGUCGUCCGUCUUGAAGCGAAUUCAGAGCCCGGUAGGAUCGCACACCGUAUGGCUUGGACAUCGGAAGAAGAUACAAGAUUGACAAGCGUUCGGUCGAAAAACUCAAAUUAUUCCAUUGAUAGAAUAACAUGAAUAACAAGUACUGGGAUGACAUGGUUGUUACUACAAUAGUAAAAGGCCAAGUCACGGGAGGAGAGAUGCUCAGCGUGUAUGAUGGACAUGGUGGCUCGGAGGUGAGGUUAUCUUCUCUUGAAAAUCUUGACCCACAAAAGAAAUUAACCUUGACGCCGUGGGAACAUGGAAAGCGUAGAUCACGAAUGGCCCCACAAUUUGGUGGUGUUUGUGUGUUGUGCGGUCAAACCUUUCUACCGGCUCCAUUGCGAUGCAGCAGUAUCACCUUCUCUGGGAGAUGAGACGAUGGGAUGUGGCCGCGUCGUGCUACCUGUUGUUGUUGUUCUAGCUUUGUUGUGUGUGUGUGUGUGUGUGUGCACGCGCGCGUGUGUGUGUGUGUGAGAGAGAGAGAGAGGGAGGGAGGGAUGGAGGGCAUUGGCUGAUAGGGGAUGGUUAUGUUGUUGCUAGAUAUGAGCAACAUUCUGUCUAUGUCUUUAGAGAAGCCUUUUGCUUUAGUUUAACUGGGGUGGAGAGUGGGUAUUGUUGUGACAAAGUUGCAUGUUACUAGAUUAUCAAACAUGUUGUUUAGGUGAAUAUCUACCGUCAGAAAGAGAGCAAUGGUACUCUGAUUGUACUGUUUUAUGCUUGAUGUUAAAGAAUACUCUUGCAAGCAGUUAGCGAUGAGCUGAUGGUGCAUUAUAUUGUAUAGAAGAUUCUUUUGAUCCCACAAUGCCAAUUGUGCAUUUGUUGUUCUAUACCUAUUUUGUCCCUCAUGAUUCUCUAUAUUUAAAAAUUAUUGGUAGUA
Molecule: long non-coding RNA, 2676 nt
Organism: Triticum aestivum (bread wheat)
Lineage: Eukaryota; Viridiplantae; Streptophyta; Magnoliopsida; Poales; Poaceae
Exons: 8
Source: RefSeq, a predicted model, not a curated record